RNAcentral lists this ribosomal RNA (455 nucleotides) under Hedychrum rutilans rutilans. RNAcentral's name for it is "partial 16S ribosomal RNA". The record is from RNAcentral. Lineage: Eukaryota; Metazoa; Arthropoda; Insecta; Hymenoptera; Chrysididae.
CUCUGCUCAAUGAUUUUAAAUUAAAUGGCCGCAGUAUCUUGACUGUGCAAAGGUAGCAUAAUAAAUAGUUUUUUAAUUGAAGACUUGAAUGAAUGAGGGGAUAAAAUUUUAACUGUCUCAAAUUUAUUAAUUGAAAUUUAAUUUAAGUAAAAAUUCUUAAAUUAUUUAAGGGGACGAGAAGACCCUAUAGAAUUUAAAAUUAUUAAAUAAAUUUAAUAUAAAAUUUAAUUAUUGGAUAUAUUUAAUUAUUUUUUAUUGGGAGGAUAGUUAAAUUUAAAAAACUUUAAUUUAAUUUAAACAAUAUUUAUUGAUUUAAUGAAAUAAGAUUAUUUUUUUUAAGAAAAAUUACCUUAGGGAUAACAGCAUAAUAUUUUUGAAUAGAUCUUAUUGAUAAAAGUGUUUGUGACCUCGAUGUUGAAUUAAAAUAAAAUUUGAAUGAAGGAUUUCAAUAUUUA